This 490-nucleotide ribosomal RNA is filed under the name uncultured bacterium. Its description in RNAcentral is "partial 16S ribosomal RNA". It matches the Rfam family "Bacterial small subunit ribosomal RNA", at positions 28 to 507 of the family's 1533-position model. The record is from RNAcentral.
GAUGAACGCUAGCUACAGGCUUAACACAUGCAAGUCGAGGGGAAACGAUGAGAGAGCUUGCUCUCUUAGGCGUCGACCGGCGCACGGGUGAGUAACGCGUAUCCAACCUACCCAUUACAGGGGGAUAACCUUGCGAAAGUAAGACUAAUACCCCAUGGCAUUUUAUGGUGGCAUCAUUAUAGGAUUAAAGAUUUAUUGGUAAUGGAUGGGGAUGCGUCUGAUUAGCUUGUUGGCGGGGUAACGGCCCACCAAGGCAACGAUCAGUAGGGGUUCUGAGAGGAAGGUCCCCCACAUUGGAACUGAGGCACGGUCCAAACUCCUACGGGAGGCAGCAGUGAGGAAUAUUGGUCAAUGGGCGAGAGCUUGAACCAGCCAAGUAGCGUGCAGGAUGACGGCCCUAUGGGUUGUAAACUGCUUUUAUAGGGGAAUAAAGUGAGCUACGUGUAGUUUAUUGCAUGUACCCUAUGAAUAAGGACCGGCUAAUUCCGUG